UAAACACACUUGAUCUCAUCAGAUCUCAAGAGCUAAGCA
RNAcentral lists this ribosomal RNA (39 nucleotides) under Sorex araneus (European shrew). Lineage: Eukaryota; Metazoa; Chordata; Mammalia; Eulipotyphla; Soricidae. The record is from RNAcentral.